UACGUAGGGGGCGAGCGUUGUCCGGAAUCAUUGGGCGUAAAGCGCGUGUAGGCGGCCCGGUAAGUCCGCUGUGAAAGUCCAGGGCUCAACCCUGGGAUGCCGGUGGAUACUGUCGGGCUCGAGUCCGGAAGAGGCGAGUGGAAUUCCUGGUGUAGCGGUGAAAUGCGCAGCUAUCAGGAGGAACACCAAUGGCGAAGGCAGCUCGCUGGGACGUGACUGACGCUGAGACGCGAAAGCGUGGGGAGCAAACA
This 251-nucleotide ribosomal RNA is filed under the name uncultured Patulibacteraceae bacterium. RNAcentral describes it as "partial 16S ribosomal RNA". It matches the Rfam family "Bacterial small subunit ribosomal RNA", at positions 524 to 774 of the family's 1533-position model. The record is from RNAcentral. Lineage: Bacteria; Bacillati; Actinomycetota; Thermoleophilia; Solirubrobacterales; Patulibacteraceae.